AGGGAAUGUAAAUCCUUUGUGAAAUCGUCCGGCUUAACCGGACGGCGUGCAGGGGAGACUGCAUUCCUAGGGACCGGGAGGAGUCAGAAGUAUUCUGGGGGGAGCGGUAAAAUGCUAUAAUCCCCGGAGGACUACCUGUGGCGAAGGCGUCUGACUAGAACGGAUCCGACUGUGAGGGACGAAAGCCAGGGGAGCAAACCGGAUUAGAUACCCGAGUAGUCCUGGCCGUAAACGCUGCGAGCUAGGUAUUGCGUAUUCUCCAUGAAUAUGCAGUAUCGGAGCGAAGGUGUUAAGCUCGCCGCCUGGGAA
This 309-nucleotide ribosomal RNA is filed under the name uncultured archaeon. Its description in RNAcentral is "bacterial SSU rRNA". It matches the Rfam family "Archaeal small subunit ribosomal RNA", at positions 526 to 834 of the family's 1478-position model. The record is from RNAcentral.